Molecule: ribosomal RNA, 403 nt
Filed under: Verrucomicrobiota bacterium
Lineage: Bacteria; Pseudomonadati; Verrucomicrobiota
Description: Verrucomicrobia bacterium partial 16S ribosomal RNA
Rfam family: Bacterial small subunit ribosomal RNA
Source: RNAcentral
UGGGGAAUAUUGCACAAUGGGGGAAACCCUGAUGCAGCGACGCCGCGUGAGCGAAGAAGGUUUUCGAAUCGUAAAGCUCUGUCCUAUGAGAAGAUAAUGACGGUAUCAUAGGAGGAAGCCCCGGCUAAAUACGUGCCAGCAGCCGCGGUAAUACGUAUGGGGCGAGCGUUGUCCGGAAUUAUUGGGCGUAAAGGGUACGUAGGCGGUCUAUUAAGUCAGGUGUGAAAGCGUGAGGCUUAACCUCAUUAAGCACUUGAAACUGAUAGACUUGAGUGAAGGAGAGGAAAGUGGAAUUCCUAGUGUAGCGGUGAAAUGCGUAGAUAUUAGGAGGAAUACCGGUGGGGAAGGCGACUUUCUGGACUUUUACUGACGCUCAGGUACGAAAGCGUGGGGAGCAAACAGG